RNAcentral lists this unclassified non-coding RNA (432 nucleotides) under soil metagenome. Its description in RNAcentral is "partial contains 5.8S ribosomal RNA, internal transcribed spacer 2, and large subunit ribosomal RNA". The stretch from base 1 to 120 matches the Rfam family "5.8S ribosomal RNA", at positions 35 to 154 of the family's 154-position model. The record is from RNAcentral.
GAUGAAGAACGUAGCGAAAUGCGAUACGUAAUGUGAAUUGCAGAAUUCAGUGAAUCAUCGAAUCUUUGAACGCAUAUUGCACUCUCUGGUAUUCCGGAGAGCAUGCUUGUUUGAGUAUCAGUAAACACCUCAACUUCCAUAUCUUUUUUGAAAUGGGAGUUGGACUUGAGUGAUCCCAACGCUUUUCCUCACCGAAAAGUGGCGGGUUACUUGAAAUGCAGGUGCAGCUGGACUUUUCUCUGAGCUAUAAGCAUAUCUAUUUAGUCUGCCUAAAAAACAGAUUAUUACCUUUGCUGCAGCUAACAUAAAGGAGAUUAGUUCUUGUGCUGACUGAUGCAGGAUUCACAAAAACGGCUUCGGCCGACUUUGUAAACUCGAUCUCAAAUCAAGUAAGACUACCCGCUGAACUUAAGCAUAUCAAUAAGCGGAGGA